RNAcentral lists this unclassified non-coding RNA (694 nucleotides) under Hevea brasiliensis (rubber tree). Lineage: Eukaryota; Viridiplantae; Streptophyta; Magnoliopsida; Malpighiales; Euphorbiaceae. The record is from RNAcentral.
AAAACUCUUGUAUUUUCUGCAAGGCUCCAUACAUCCUGUGGAUUCUUCAAGCCCAAAGAUGCCAUGGUAGACACUGAUGAAAGAUCAUCAGUUGCACAGCUUUUAUCAACAUUGCCAUUUUGAUGAUUCAGUUUUCCAGGAAGAACAUCCCUACUAUAUAUAGGUUUUGGCCUAUUACGGUUUUUCCAUGUCUCCUGAUUAGACAAAGCUACCUCAAUGUUAUAACCAAACACAUGAUCGUAUAUUCUCCUUCCAUAUUGCUCAAUGUUUUCAUUGUCUCUCCUUUCAAAUACAUCUUCUCCAUUUUCUGGUGAGUUGGAAGCAUCGCUAGACCGUACAUUUAAAUCAUUUUCCUGAUUCUUGUCUCCAAACAACUUUGCAAAAAGUAGGUCCUUUGCCCAAACUAUACAGUGAACAAACUUGGAUGGAGUACUAGUAAUUGUACACACGGGAUAUGUCUUUGGGGCAGGUUUAGGCUGACACUCAUAGCACUCAGUUUUCCCCUUCGCAUGCACGGUGACCUGUCCUAGGAAGCCAGUAGUCCCACUUUCAACCAAAGGAACUUCAGCGGCCAAGCAAAGACGGUUCACAUGCCGCCUUGCUUCCAAGUUGUCAAGACCAUUCAGAACAACAUUAAACUGUUUGAAAAACUCCACAUUGAAGUCAGAAUCCUUCACAUUUGCAUGGUAUGGCG